GACACAGGUGGUCAGGUCGAGUAGACCAAGGCGCUUGAGAAAACUCUGCUGAAGGAACUAGGCAAAAUGGUACCGUAACUUCGGGAGAAGGUACGCUGUUGUUGGUGAUGGAACUCGCUUCCUGAGCUGACGACAGCCGCAGAAACCAGGCCGCUGCAACUGUUUAUUAAAAACGUAGCACUCUGCAAACACGAAAGUGGACGUAUAGGGUGUGAUGCCUGCCCGGUGCUGGAAGGUUAAUUGAUGGGGUUAGCGCAAGCGAAGCUCUUGAUCGAAGCCCCAGUAAACGGCGGCCGUAGCUAUAACGGUCCUAAGGUAGCGAAAUUCCUUGUCGGGUAAGUUCCGACCUGCACGAAUGGCAUAAUGAUGGCGGCGCUGUCUCCAGCAGAGGCUCAGUGAAAUCGAAAUCGCUGUGAAGAUGCAGUGUACCCGCGGCUAGACGGAAAGACCCCGUGAACCUUUACUGCAGCUUGACACUGAACUUUGACCUUACUUGUGUAGGAUAGGUGGGAGGCUUUGAAGCUGGAACGCUAGUUCCAGUGGAGCCGUCCUUGAAAUACCACCCUGGUAAUGUUGAGGUUCUAACUCUGUCCCGUGAUCCGGGACGAGGACCGUGUCUGGUGGGUAGUUUGACUGGGGCGGUCUCCUCCUAAAGAGUAACGGAGGAGUACGAAGGUGCGCUCAGCGUGGUCGGAAAUCACGCGUAGAGUAUAAAGGCAAAAGCGCGCUUAACUGCGAGACCCACAAGUCGAGCAGGUACGAAAGUAGGUCUUAGUGAUCCGGUGGUUCUGUAUGUAAGGGCCAUCGCUCAACGGAUAAAAGGUACUCUGGGGAUAACAGGCUGAUACCGCCCAAGAGUUCAUAUCGACGGCGGUGUUUGGCACCUCGAUGUCGGCUCAUCUCAUCCUGGGGCUGAAGCAGGUCCCAAGGGUAUGGCUGUUCGCCAUUUAAAGAGGUACGCGAGCUGGGUCUAGAACGUCGUGAGACAGUUCGGUCCCUAUCUACCGUGGGCGCUGGAAAUUUGAGAGGAUCUGCUCCUAGUACGAGAGGACCAGAGUGGACGAACCUCUGGUGUACCGGUUGUGACGCCAGUCGCAUCGCCGGGUAGCUAUGUUCGGAAGGGAUAACCGCUGAAAGCAUCUAAGCGGGAAGCCUACCUCAAGAUAAGAUUUCCCUAGGACUUUAUGUCCUCUAAAGAGCCGUUCGAGACUAGGACGUUGAUAGGUUGGAUGUGGAAGCAUAGUGAUAUGUGAAGCUGACCAAUACUAAUUGCUCGUGAGGCUUGACC
Molecule: ribosomal RNA, 1288 nt
Filed under: metagenome
Description: bacterial LSU rRNA
Rfam family: Bacterial large subunit ribosomal RNA
Source: RNAcentral